This 484-nucleotide ribosomal RNA is filed under the name Staphylococcus aureus. RNAcentral describes it as "partial 23S ribosomal RNA". It matches the Rfam family "Bacterial large subunit ribosomal RNA", at positions 283 to 764 of the family's 2925-position model. Lineage: Bacteria; Bacillati; Bacillota; Bacilli; Caryophanales; Staphylococcaceae. The record is from RNAcentral.
GCUUGCUUGUUGGGGUUGUAGGACACUCUAUACGGAGUUACAAAGGACGACAUUAGACGAAUCAUCUGGAAAGAUGAAUCAAAGAAGGUAAUAAUCCUGUAGUCGAAAAUGUUGUCUCUCUUGAGUGGAUCCUGAGUACGACGGAGCACGUGAAAUUCCGUCGGAAUCUGGGAGGACCAUCUCCUAAGGCUAAAUACUCUCUAGUGACCGAUAGUGAACCAGUACCGUGAGGGAAAGGUGAAAAGCACCCCGGAAGGGGAGUGAAAUAGAACCUGAAACCGUGUGCUUACAAGUAGUCAGAGCCCGUUAAUGGGUGAUGGCGUGCCUUUUGUAGAAUGAACCGGCGAGUUACGAUUUGAUGCAAGGUUAAGCAGUAAAUGUGGAGCCGUAGCGAAAGCGAGUCUGAAUAGGGCGUUUAGUAUUUGGUCGUAGACCCGAAACCAGGUGAUCUACCCUUGGUCAGGUUGAAGUUCAGGUAACACUG